RNAcentral lists this ribosomal RNA (479 nucleotides) under uncultured Pseudomonas sp. RNAcentral describes it as "bacterial SSU rRNA". It matches the Rfam family "Bacterial small subunit ribosomal RNA", at positions 910 to 1382 of the family's 1533-position model. Lineage: Bacteria; Pseudomonadati; Pseudomonadota; Gammaproteobacteria; Pseudomonadales; Pseudomonadaceae. The record is from RNAcentral.
UUGACGGGGGCCCGCACAAGCGGUGGAGCAUGUGGUUUAAUUCGAUGCAACGCGAAGAACCUUACCUGGUCUUGACAUCCCGGAGACCCUUAGGAAACUAGGGGGUGCUUCCAUCUGGAAGAAUCUGGAGACAGGUGCUGCAUGGCUGUCGUCAGCUCGUGCCGUGAGAUGUUGGGUUAAGUCCCGUAACGAGCGCAACCCUUGUCCUUAGUUACCAGCACGUUAUGGUGGGCACUCUAAGGAGACUGCCGGUGACAAACCGGAGGAAGGUGGGGAUGACGUCAAGUCAUCAUGGCCCUUACGGCCUGGGCUACACACGUGCUACAAUGGUCGGUACAAAGGGUUGCCAAGCCGCGAGGUGGAGCUAAUCCCAUAAAACCGAUCGUAGUCCGGAUCGCAGUCUGCAACUCGACUGCGUGAAGUCGGAAUCGCUAGUAAUCGUGAAUCAGAAUGUCACGGUGAAUACGUUCCCGGGCCUU